GGGGGGCCCUACGGGGCGCAGCAGGCGCGAAAACUUUACACUGCGCGAAAGCGCGAUAAGGGGACCUCGAGUGCGUGCGCAAUGCGUACGCUUUUCAGAUGCCUAAAAAGCAUGUGGAAUAAGGGCCGGGCAAGACCGGUGCCAGCCGCCGCGGUAACACCGGCGGCUCAAGUGGUGGCCGCUAUUAUUGGGCUUAAAGGGUCCGUAGCCGGACCAGUUAGUCCCUUGGGAAAUCUUACGGCUUAACCGUAAGGCU
This 256-nucleotide ribosomal RNA is filed under the name uncultured methanogenic archaeon. Its description in RNAcentral is "partial 16S ribosomal RNA". It matches the Rfam family "Archaeal small subunit ribosomal RNA", at positions 315 to 572 of the family's 1478-position model. The record is from RNAcentral. Lineage: Archaea; Methanobacteriati; Methanobacteriota.